This 491-nucleotide ribosomal RNA is filed under the name uncultured bacterium. RNAcentral describes it as "partial 16S ribosomal RNA". It matches the Rfam family "Bacterial small subunit ribosomal RNA", at positions 29 to 507 of the family's 1533-position model. The record is from RNAcentral.
GUGAACGCUGGCGGUAGGCCUAACCCAUGCAAGUCGAACGGCAGCACAGUAAGGGCUUGCUCUUACGGGUGGCGAGUGGCGGACGGGUGAGGAAUACAUCGGAAUCUACUUUUUCGUGGGGGAUAACGUAGGGAAACUUACGCUAAUACCGCAUACGACCUACGGGUGAAAGCAGGGGAUCUUCGGACCUUGCGCGAUUGAAUGAGCCGAUGUCGGAUUAGCUAGUUGGCGGGGUAAAGGCCCACCAAGGCGACGAUCCGUAGCUGGUCUGAGAGGAUGAUCAGCCACACUGGAACUGAGACACGGUCCAGACUCCUACGGGAGGCAGCAGUGGGGAAUAUUGGACAAUGGGCGCAAGCCUGAUCCAGCCAUACCGCGUGGGUGAAGAAGGCCUUCGGGUUGUAAAGCCCUUUUGUUGGGAAAGAAAAGCGGCAGGUUAAUACCCCGCUGUUCUGACGGUACCCAAAGAAUAAGCACCGGCUAACUUCGUG